RNAcentral lists this ribosomal RNA (437 nucleotides) under uncultured bacterium. RNAcentral's name for it is "partial 16S ribosomal RNA". The stretch from base 52 to 437 matches the Rfam family "Bacterial small subunit ribosomal RNA", at positions 39 to 507 of the family's 1533-position model. The record is from RNAcentral.
GGGGGGGGGGGGGGGCGGGCGGGGGGCGUGGGGGGCGGGCGGGGGGGGGGGGGGCCGGUGGCGGGCGGGGGGGGAACGCGGGGGCACCGGCCCUGGGGAGGGGAACCACACCCGGACGCGGUGGCUGCUACCCCGUAGGCCUCGGAGCAAAAGGACGAAUCCGCCCGAGGAGGGGCUUGCGUCUGCUUAGCUAGCUGGUGAGGGAAUAGCUUACCAAGGCGAUGAUCAGUAGCUGUUCCGAGAGGAUGAUCGGCCACACGGGGACUGAGGCACGGCCCAGGAUGCUAGGGGAGGCAGCAGGGGGGGAUUUUCCGCAAGGGGGGAAAGGCUGAAGGAGGAAUGGCGGGUGGGGGUAGAAGGGCCACGGGUCGUGAACUUCUUUUCUCGGAGAAGAAACAAUGACGGUAUCUGAGGAAUAAGCAUCGGCUAACUCUGUG